GCCGAGGUGGCACAAUCUGGUACUGCGCAGAUUGUCUUUCUAGGUUGAAAGAUAAGUGUAAGCCUGGAAAGAAGUUCUUUUCAAGACUAGAUAGCCUGUUUCCUUUGGAUAUCUGGGUUCGAAUCCCAGCCUCGGCG
Molecule: transfer RNA, 137 nt
Filed under: archaeon
Lineage: Archaea
Description: tRNA-OTHER
Rfam family: tRNA
About the family: Transfer RNA (tRNA) molecules are approximately 80 nucleotides in length. Their secondary structure includes four short double-helical elements and three loops (D, anti-codon, and T loops).
Source: RNAcentral